RNAcentral lists this ribosomal RNA (342 nucleotides) under Protobothrops jerdonii. RNAcentral describes it as "partial 12S ribosomal RNA". The record is from RNAcentral. Lineage: Eukaryota; Metazoa; Chordata; Lepidosauria; Squamata; Viperidae.
UAAAAGACUUGACGGUACUUCACCACGACCUAGAGGAGCCUGUCUGAUAACCGACAAUCCACGAUUAACCCCACCCUUUCUCGCCCAACAGUCUAUAUACCGCCGUCGCCAGCUUACCUUGUAAAAGAAAUAAAGUGAGCCAAACAGUACUGCACUAAAACGACAGGUCGAGGUGUAACCCAUGAAAGGGGUUAAGAUGGGCUACAUUCUCCAGCCGAGAAUACGAAUAGCACUAUGAAACUAGUGCCUGAAGACGGAUUUAGCAGUAAGAUAGGAAUAAAACACCUAACUGAACACAACGCAAUGAAGUGCGUACACACCGCCCGUCAUCCCUGCCACACA